This 253-nucleotide ribosomal RNA is filed under the name uncultured bacterium. RNAcentral describes it as "partial 16S ribosomal RNA". It matches the Rfam family "Bacterial small subunit ribosomal RNA", at positions 524 to 776 of the family's 1533-position model. The record is from RNAcentral.
UACGUAGGGUGCAAGCGUUGUCCGGAAUUAUUGGGCGUAAAGAGCUCGUAGGCGGUCUGUCGCGUCGGCUGUGAAAACCUGGGGCUCAACUCCGGGCCUGCAGCCGAUACGGGCAGACUAGAAUUCGGUAGGGGAGACUGGAAUUCCUGGUGUAGCGGUGAAAUGCGCAGAUAUCAGGAAGAACACCGGUGGCGAAGGCGGGUUGCUGGGCUGACACUGACGCUGAUGCGCGAAAGCUAGGGGAGCGAACGGG